UACGAGGGGAGCUAGCGUUACUCGGAAUUAUUGGGCGUAAAGAGUGCGUAGGCGGCACAGUAAGUUAGAAGUGAAAUCCUUGAGCUUAACUCAAGAACUGCUUUUAAUACUGCUGAGCUAGAGUAUCAGAGGGGGUAGUGGAAUUCCUAGUGUAGAGGUGAAAUUCGUAGAUAUUAGGAGGAACACCAGUGGCGAAGGCGACUAUCUGGCUGAAUACUGACGCUGUUGCACGAAAGCGUGGGGAGCAAACAGG
Molecule: unclassified non-coding RNA, 253 nt
Filed under: uncultured Candidatus Midichloriaceae bacterium
Lineage: Bacteria; Pseudomonadati; Pseudomonadota; Alphaproteobacteria; Rickettsiales; Candidatus Midichloriaceae
Description: contains 16S-23S intergenic spacer region
Rfam family: Bacterial small subunit ribosomal RNA
Source: RNAcentral